CCUACGGGAGGCAGCAGUGAGGAAUAUUGGUCAAUGGCCGGAAGGCUGAACCAGCCAUGCCGCGUGAAGGUCAGUGCCCUAUGGGCGUUAAACUUCUUUUGUGCGGGAGCAAUAAUGGUCACGUGUGGCCAGACGAGAGUACCGUACGAAUAAGCAUCGGCUAACUCCGUGCCAGCAGCCGCGGUAAUACGGGGGAUGCAAGCGUUAUCCGGAUUUAUUGGGUUUAAAGGGUGCGUAGGCUGUGAGGUAAGUCAGCGGGGAAAUGCCCCCGCUCAACGGGGUGAAGUGCCAUUGAUACUGCCUUGCUGGAAUGCGGAUGCCGUGAGAGGAAUGUGUGGUGUAGCGGUGAAAUGCAUAGAUAUCACACAGAACACCGAUUGCGAAGGCAUCUCACGAAUCCGCGAUUGACGCUGAUGCACGAAAGCGUGGGUAUCAAACAGGAUUAGAUACCCCAGUAGUC
RNAcentral lists this ribosomal RNA (460 nucleotides) under uncultured bacterium. Its description in RNAcentral is "partial 16S ribosomal RNA". It matches the Rfam family "Bacterial small subunit ribosomal RNA", at positions 338 to 795 of the family's 1533-position model. The record is from RNAcentral.